CCUGUCCGAGCGUCAUGAGCCCAAUCAAGCUAGCUUUGCUUGGCGUUAGGCCGUGCCAGCAAUGGCAGGCCCUAAAUCCAGUGGCGGCGCCGCGGGCUCUGAACGUAGUAACACCUCCCGUUACGGACGUCCGCGGUAGGCGACCAGGAACCUCGAAACUUGUUGACCUCGGAUCAGGUAGGGAUACCCGCUGAACUUAA
RNAcentral lists this unclassified non-coding RNA (200 nucleotides) under soil metagenome. Its description in RNAcentral is "partial contains internal transcribed spacer 2 and large subunit ribosomal RNA". The record is from RNAcentral.